RNAcentral lists this ribosomal RNA (476 nucleotides) under Austropotamobius torrentium (stone crayfish). RNAcentral describes it as "partial 16S ribosomal RNA". It matches the Rfam family "Bacterial large subunit ribosomal RNA", at positions 1857 to 2599 of the family's 2925-position model. Lineage: Eukaryota; Metazoa; Arthropoda; Malacostraca; Decapoda; Astacidae. The record is from RNAcentral.
ACCUGCCCAUUGAGAUUUAAAAGGCCGCGGUAUUAUGACCGUGCUAAGGUAGCAUAAUCAUUAGUCUUUUAAUUGGAGGCUGGAAUGAAUGGUCGGACAAGAGAUAAGCUGUCUUAAGUAAAAAUAUUGAAUUUAACUUUUAAGUGAAAAGGCUUAAAUUUUCUAGGGGGACGAUAAGACCCUAUAAAACUUUAUAUUUUGAAAUAAUAAUUAAUUUUAUAUGGGAGUUUUAUUUUUAAAUAUUUUAUUGGGGUGAUAAGGAUAAAAUAACAAAUAACUGUCUUUUUUUUAUUACAAUAAUAUUUGAACAGAUGAACCUAGUAAGGGAAAGAAGAUUAAGUUACUUUAGGGAUAACAGCGUAAUUUUUUUUAAGAGUUCUUAUCGACAAGAAAGUUUGCGACCUCGAUGUUGAAUUAAAAGUUCUUUAUAGAGCAGAAACUAUAAAAGAAGGUCUGUUCGACCUUUAAAAUUUUAC